GGUCAAGUUAUUAAGGGUGCAGGGCGGAUGCCUUGGCACUAGGAGCCGAUGAAGGACGUGAUAAGCUGCGAUAAGCUUCGGGGAGUUGCACGUAAACUUUGAUCCGAAGAUUUCCGAAUGAGGAAACUCACUUAGAGUAAUGUCUAAGUAUCAUUAAGUGAAUACAUAGCUUAAUGAGGGGAACUCAGGGAACUGAAACAUCUAAGUACCUGAAG
Molecule: ribosomal RNA, 215 nt
Filed under: Clostridioides difficile
Lineage: Bacteria; Bacillati; Bacillota; Clostridia; Peptostreptococcales; Peptostreptococcaceae
Description: partial 23S ribosomal RNA
Rfam family: Bacterial large subunit ribosomal RNA
Source: RNAcentral